AAUGAACGCUGGCGGCAGGCCUAAAACAUGCAAGUCGAGCGGAGCGGCGGACGGGUGAGUAAUGCCUCGGAAUCUGCCUGGUCGUGGGGGAUAACGUCCGGAAACGGGAGCUAAUACCGCAUACUCUCAGAUGAGCCUAGGUCGGUUUAGCUGGUGGGUGGGGUAAAGGCCUACCAAGGCGACGAUCCGUAACUGGUAUGAGAGGCUGAUCAGUCACACUGGAAUGGAGAGACGGUCCAGACUCCGACGGGAGGCAGCGGUGGGGAAUAUUGGACAAUGGGGGAAAGCCUGAUCCAUCCAUGCCGGGUGUGUGAAGAAGGUCUUCGGAUUGGAAAGCACUUUAAGUUGGGAGGCGUUACCAACAGAAUAAGCCCCGGCUAACUUCGUGCCAGCAGCCGCGGUAAUAC
RNAcentral lists this ribosomal RNA (407 nucleotides) under uncultured bacterium. Its description in RNAcentral is "partial 16S ribosomal RNA". It matches the Rfam family "Bacterial small subunit ribosomal RNA", at positions 29 to 526 of the family's 1533-position model. The record is from RNAcentral.